RNAcentral lists this transfer RNA (72 nucleotides) under Trichonephila inaurata madagascariensis. It matches the Rfam family "tRNA". Rfam says of the family: Transfer RNA (tRNA) molecules are approximately 80 nucleotides in length. Their secondary structure includes four short double-helical elements and three loops (D, anti-codon, and T loops). The record is from Rfam by way of RNAcentral. Lineage: Eukaryota; Metazoa; Arthropoda; Arachnida; Araneae; Nephilidae.
GGCCCAUUAGCUCAGUUGGUUAGAGCGUUGAGCUAAUAACGCGAAGGUCUUGGGUUCGAUCCCCAUGGGCCA